AACCAUUUGAAAGGAGGUGAUCCAGUGUCUAGAGUGAUAUUGGAGAGACGUGUCGGGACAGCUUGCGGGGGUGUUUUCUGAGGGCAGCCCCUCCUAAAACGCACCGGAAGUUGGGCUAGCUCCUAACUGGCUCAUCUCCUUGGAUCUCGGAAAGGGUCGCCAGCCUUGGCGACCCU
RNAcentral lists this small RNA (176 nucleotides) under Cereibacter azotoformans. RNAcentral's name for it is "Rhodobacter azotoformans caulobacter sRNA CC2171". The record is from RNAcentral. Lineage: Bacteria; Pseudomonadati; Pseudomonadota; Alphaproteobacteria; Rhodobacterales; Paracoccaceae.